CCAGAUGAAAAAAAUUAAAAGAAAAUAAUUGUUUGUUAGGAAAAUGUUUUUUUUAUGUACAACAAAAUGAAAAUCUUUUUACAUUGAUAUUUUCUGCUGUUUACACUUUGGACAACAAUAUUUCAGUUACAACAUCUCAGAAAAAACUAUAGUGUUUGUAAAUGUUUGUAAAAAUUUUAAAUAAUACAAAAAAGUAUAUCAUUAUGCGAGUUUCAUAAAAUUAUUCUUUAGAAGGAGAAGCACAACAUAAUCCAUUGAUUACAUUCCAUAAGGAUUUAAAAGACAAGAAAAUUGUAUACACAAGAUUGCCAAAAACAUAAAAGUGAUGAAAUAAAGGAAUUUUCAGUUUUUACUGGGACCAAUAGAUAUAUUAGUCCCAGGUAUAGUUGAUAUUUGCCCGCUCAACACCAUCAAUGGCUAACUUAGAUAUUAUAUAAAUAAUUUUGACUGUUGUUUUGUUAUUAAUGUCUGAUCGUAAAAAGAAUAAUAGAACAUAUAAAAUGUCAAAAGAUAAUGUCACAUGUACUUUAGAAGGUAAUUAAUUUGGUAUUCGUAUCCAAUCACAACAUUGUUUAUAUUAGAUAUGAAUAUAUUAAGUUGUAAAUAUUUAUGGUAUUUAUUACACUUAUUUGGAUAAACAACAUAUAAAUGUAUGAACUGUAAAAUGGCAUAUGAUAAUUGUCAUUAAUUAUGUAAAUAAUAUGUUAAGGAGAUGUCCUUAUCUAACUUCCAGGCUAAUAAUGUAAGGAAUAAGACGAAUAAGAAAUGUCUAAAUUAAAAUGUUGUUGUUUUUAUUUUUGUUAUCAUCUCAAUGAUUGUUAGAACUGUUGUAAUGUUGAUGACUUAAAAUCCAAGCUGGGUUUUCUUGAAAACUUUAGAUUUUCUUUUUCUUUUUUGAAAGAUUAUAAGGUAUCACUUAUUAAAUAUAGUUCUUCCUAGAUCUGUUUACCAAUCAAUCAUUUCUAUAUGACAGUUAUAAAACCACUUGUCAUUUGAAUACCAGGAACAAACAAAUCAGGGAAUACAUAGAAUCUCAAGUAAAUAGGGUUUAUUUUAAUGGUUAUAGAUUCUAACUUCCUUUUUUUUUCUAAGCUUUAAAAAAUUAUGACAGAAAAAGGUUGUUCUAUAGUAUUUGCCAUAGUUUUUGUCUAGUUUAGACAGAUAUUUAUAAUCCUUUUAUAAAACAUUGUAUUUUUGUUUGGCAGCCAUGCCUGAGUAUUGUCUGUACAAACUUCUUAUAAGGAUUAAUUUUGAAUCCAUGUCAUUUAAGUAAAAUAAAUUCUGUUAAAAAAAAAUAUAUCAGGUCAUUGACUAUACAUUGUACAUGAUGAAACUUGCCUCAAUUUUGAAUAUUUUAUUUCGUAAAUAAAGAUUGUGAUAUUGUUUAAUUUGUUAAUAUAUUAUUUAUUAAAAUUUUAUAUUUUAUGAUUUGUUUUACUGUAGUCUGUGAUUAUUAUAUUCCUCUGUGAUUUAUAUAUGACUAACAUGUCUCAAAGUAUAACAUACUUAUUUGCGUAGAAGCCUCUGUGAUUAUCUGCUUUAUAUAUGAAGGUACAGUUUGUACGGGAAUUUUAAAAUGCUAAGGCCAAAACACUUAACUUUGAGUUUUUGGAUAAUUUUAAUGUUUUUGGACCUUCUGAAAUAGGGCAUUAUUAAAGAUUUAAAUUUCAAUUCAUAUAAAUUAUAUAAGACUUUCUGUACAGGAUGGAAGAUUAAAAUAUGAUACUAUAAUUAGAAUUUACGAUUAAGCCAUACUAUAAUUAGAAUUUACGAUUAAGCCAUACUAAUUUAUAUAUGUUGGUUUAUUUUCUUUUAAAUGUGAAAAUUUAUCAGAAACGAAGAAUCUUGAGUUGCAAAUUUCCAAUUAUUUACUAAUUCAACAGACUUAAAAUUAUUUUGAUUAUGCCUUUACAAUAUAAUUUAUAAAAUUGUCAGAUUAAUUUGAUUAUACUUCACUAUAAAGAAUACUAAAUGCUUUUUCUUUUUUUUUAAUAUUUUAUACUUUCACAUUUAUAAAUUUAUAAAUAUAUAUGUAAGCAGUUUGUAUUUUUAAGUUAUAUUUUACAUGUUGCACAUAAAACAUGCCGGCAGAUUUAACAAGUAUGUUAGCAGUCACAAAUAUUUCUCAUAGUGAAAACCAUAUCCAGAUUUGAUAAUUUUGUGAAAUAAAAAAAAGGGGAGAUAAUUUAAAUUAAAAAAAAUCAACUUAUGAGUAGAAAUGAGCAUCUUAGUUCAAUAUUAUAAGAAAAUUUAGAAAUUUUAGAAAAUAGAUGUGAAUUUGGUAUUUGCUUUUCAAUACAAAGAUGAGGGGGAAUAAAUUUAUGAUCUCUUAUUACAUUUAAAUAUUUUAUUUUUUUUCUGAAUAUGGUUACUUUAGAAAACUUAGAGACAAAACAUUGAAUUGAAAGCAAUCAGAUUGUUAUACUAGUUGUAAUAUUAUUGACCAAAGACUAACUGCAUGAUUAGCUCAGGUGCUUUUACAGUAGUGCAAAUCAAAGGACAAAAUAGAAUAAAGUAAUGUCUAGUC
Molecule: long non-coding RNA, 2527 nt
Filed under: Mytilus galloprovincialis (Mediterranean mussel)
Lineage: Eukaryota; Metazoa; Mollusca; Bivalvia; Mytilida; Mytilidae
Source: RNAcentral